UAUUACUUCAGAAAUUUGAUUUAUGGAUAGUGGACAGGAAGGGGACUUGUAACACUCCUAACCUGUAUUCGUCGUCGAAUUAGGGUUAAGAGGUAUUACUAAUCAAAACACAACUUAGAAUAGACAUUCGUUAAAGUUCAAAAUUUUUAACAGUUACAUAUGAUAAACUAGGUCUAAUAUUAAACAUGCAAAAUUCUAAGUUUUUCUUUUGACCAUUUAAAACAGAACAAAGACAUUACAAUCCAACUAAUCCAUAAGAAAAAUAAGCCAUUUUUGUAUGGCUAUUAAUCUCAUAUACAAUCUAUAUAUUGAAGUACGAUCUUCAAAACAUUAUCUAACCUGUACAUGCCAUAAAUUAAAAAUUUAAACAUUUUAAUACCGAGACAGUAGAUAGAGUGAUGAUCUUGCUGACAAUCCCCGAGCCUGAAGCUUGAUCUUUAAGUCUAUAAAACAGAAAGACAUAAACAAACAAAGUAAGCUUUUAUAGCUUAGUAAUUCUAUUGCAUAACUAAAUAUAUAUAUAGAAAUAAUAUAACUUUUUAAUUUAAUUUACUAAGAUUGCAAUUUACACAUAUAAUUAAUAUUUAUACAUUUACUGUACUUAGACCAUUUUAUUUAUAGUCAAAUAUAUGUACCUGUCGAAAUGCGUUCAAUUGAAUAUAUAUUUAUACCAAACGACAUUACAACCAAAUGAAUAUAACAGAGCAUAUAUGUAUGUUAUACACAUAUCAUAUCCGACUGUGUAUGUAUACUCAUAAUAAACUUAUAACCAAAUGCAAAUCUAAUACAUGUGAUCGAAUGCAUUCAUCUCCAUCAAAUAAUUAUAAACAGAGGUAUAUACAUUUCAAAUGCAUAUGUAGAUGCUUAUCAAAUACAUAUACUGAAUAUUUAUACGUAUACAUUUAUCAACUGUAUAAAUCGAAAGCAUGUAUGUAUAUUUUACAAAUGCAUAGACCGAAUAUGUACAUAUUCAUUAAACACUCUUAGUCGAAGGUAUAUAUGCUCAUCAAUUAAAGAUAACCAAAAUCAUAUAAUUGUACACUUAAUCACAUACUUUAAAAAGAUUCACCGGCACUUAGUUGCUAGACAUAUAAUCUGAAAUGUUUCAUCGGCAUUAAGCCUAUUAGACGUAAAGUCUGAUAUUGUUUCACUGGCAAUAAGCCUACUAGAUGUAAAGUCUGAAAUUAUUUCACCGACCUUAAGCCUACUAUAUGUAAAGUCUGAUAUUGUUUCACUGGCAAUAAGCCUGCUAGGCGCUAAGCCUGAAAUCUCAAUUUCACAUACACAAAAUAAUUCCUUGAAAAAUUCUUAAUAGCAAAAACAUGUUCGUUGUAGUCCAUGUUCAAUCAUAAAAGAGGUUACAAAUCAUACUUUCAAUUUAGUUCAAGUAUUUACAAAUUUAUAAACAUAUAUAUAUAAUCUAACCUCACAUAUAAAAAUAUAAGAUUUUAUAACCUCACAUAUAAAAAUAUAAGAUUUUAUAUCUUUAAUUCAAUCCAAGAACCUAUAAACGAAUAUACAUAUAGAUAUAUUCGAACUCCCAUGUACGUAUUUAACAUUUAUACCUUUAGCUAAAAUCAUAAACUCAUACAUGUAUAUAUAUACACAUUCUUGUCUUUAUCUAAGUUCAUAAUUUAUUGAUGUAUAUAUACACAUAUAUAAUUACUUAACUAAAUUCAAUACAAGAAAUUUACAUGUAUAUAUACACGCUUAUUCGAAAAUAACAUAUAUAUAUAUUUAAUUUCAUACCUAAUAUCAAUAUAAAAACAUAUACAUGUAUAUUCAUACAUAUUCAAAAAUCCACAUGCAUACUUAACAUUCAUACCUUAAAAUAUAUUCAAGAUUUGUUCAAGUAUUUUCAUAUACAUUCCAACCCACAUAUAAAUACUUAUUCGAAAUUACCUAUACAAUUACAAUAUACAUACCUUUAAUUAAUCCAAGAAUUUAUACAUGUAUAUACAUAUAUAUAUUCGAACCUUCUGUAUACAUAUAUAACCCUCACACAAUCAACUAAAUUCAAGAACAUAUACAUAUAGAUACAUAUAUAAAUAUUCGAACAUUAUAUAUAUAUACCAUUCCUACUUUAACUUAAUUCAAAGAUUUAUAUAAGUAUAUACCUAUAUAUUUGAACAUUGUAUGUACAUAUAUACCAUUUAUACUUCAAUUUAUUCAAUCAAAUUAUUUUUAUUUAUAGCUCAACAAAAAUACAAUAGAUAUACAUACAUACAUACUGAUUUAAUAACAUUAAAUAGUUAAUAGACUUACCUCAGACAGUGUAAAAUCGAAACCGAACGAUUAGUCGAUGACUUUAGCUUUUCCCCGAUCCAACUCCAAUUUCUUUGGUUCUUGAUCUAAAUAUAUUCAAAAUGAACUAUUUUAAUUAUUAUUUCAUUCAAUUUAGUCCAAAAACACAUAAAUGGGAAAAUUACCAUUUUGCCCCUAACAUUUACACUUUUUGCAAUUUAGUCCCUAUUACAUAAAACACAAAAUACACAAAAUUUGUACACACUAUACAAGGGCCGAAUGUUCCUAGUGCUCAUAAAAGUCCACACAUUUCAUUUAUUUCACAUUUUAGUCCCUCAAAAAUUUAAUUUCACAAUUUAGCCCUAAUUACUCAAUUUCACCAACAAUUCAAAGACAAAGCAUGUUAAUCUUUCACAUAUCUUUCAUAUUUCAUCAUUAACUAACAAAAAGCUCAAGCAUUCAUCAAUGACAUAACACAAAAUCAACAUCAAAUUCUAAAAUUAAAGCAUGGGUCUUGUAGUGCACAAAGCAACGAUCUCAAAAACAUAAAAAUUUUCAAAAAACCGAACAAAAACGAACCUUAAAUCAAGCUUCCUAAUGGCCGAACCCUAGCUUGGAUGUUUCUUUCUUUUCUUUUCUCAAUGUCGGCUUGGAGAAGAUGAUAGCUAGCUUAAUUUUAUGUAUUUUAAUUAAUAUAUAAUAUAAUAUAAGGCUAUUUACUUAAUUAACCUUACUUAUUAAAUAUAUAAUAUAUAAACAUUAAGUUUAGUCUUGUCCGUAACCAUCAACUAUCUAUAUAGCGGUUUAAUUGCACUUUUAAGCCUCCUAAUUAAAAAUACAACAACAAAUAGAUACUUUUAAAUUAAAUCCCUAAGUUUUUAUUUUACGUGAUUAAGCCCUUUUUAUCAAAUUGAGCAUUCAAACAUGCUCAAACAAUCAAAUUUUUAUACGAAAUUUUCACACAUAGUAAUUCACAUACUGCAAAUACCAUAAAUAAUUUUAAAAUAUUUUUCUGACUCAGAUUUUUGGUCCCGAACCACUUUGCCCGAUUAGGGUCAAAAUCGGGCUGUUACAGGACUGAGAAUCAAAUUGCAGAUCACCAAUCCAAAAUUGAAAACCAUUUACAAGAAGAGAAAAUUGAAGACACUAAGGAGACCUUUGCGAUGAUAAAUUAUUUAGAGUAGACAUUAAUCAAUCAAGACCAAGUAGGCAUCUAACACCAUGCAACAUGGUAUGCAGAUUAUGUUAUUUACAUUGCAAUGAUGGUAUUCACAACAUAGGCAUCUUGGAAACAAAAAAAAUGGAUAGCCCAUGAAUAAAAAAUUACAUUUUGAAGGAUCCAUAAAUAACACCCUAUAGCCUGGGUCGUCGAGCCCGAGUUCUAGGAUACAAGCAUCUUUAUUUUCUUUUGUUACCAUAGCAAUCAUGCGAUAUUAAGACAUGCAAACUCAAAUUAAUGUUUAACCAUGCUAACAUACGACAAACAAACAUAAAAUGGACAUAAAUCGAGUCGUGGGACCACUUAGCAAAUUUUCCAAAAACUGUUGCAUAGGUAUCAAUACUAAAGGAGUGGUAUCAAUAUUUUCUUUAAGUGGUAUUAAUACCACAUGAAAAAUCGAUACCAAACAUACAUUCUGUUUCUCACCAAAAUUCCCAAACAUCGAAAACUAUCGGUACCUUUCGCAAAGUAUCGAUAAAUUAUCUCAAGUAUUGAUACUCGAGCCAAGGUAUUGAUACCAAAUUUAUAUUUUGUUUUGUUGCACUUUCAAAAUUAACGAGGUAUCAUUUUAAUAAUCCAAUUAUCGAUACCUCUGCUCCAGACUGCCAAAUUUUAGCAUAUAUCAGCAAUUAGAUCAUUUAAACUCAUCCCUAAAUAACAUGCUUUAUUCACCAAAAUAAAUAAGCUUCAGAACAUCCAAACAACAGUCCAAAUAUCAUAUUAAAAUCCACAUGCUUCCAAACAUAAAUAACAUGCAAAUAUCCCCAAAAUGACUUAACAAAACUAAUAUAAAGUCUACCAUAUUGCCUUAAAGUCCCAUAUUAAAAAUAAAUCAAUUACACCUACUAUAGUAACUAAAAGAAUGGCUUGGGUAAAUCCCUCGACGGCCACACCGCUCACACCGGGAAUGCGACUACUCUACAAAGGUUAAGAUGGAGUGGGUGAACUUAACAAGCUCAGCGAAUGCUCAGAACAACCACUACGCAUGGCAUCUCUAAUUCUAUAUCAAAAUAUAUACGUUUCAUUAUUUUUCAAGUAUUAUUUUACUUAUUGAUUACAAGAAUAUUUAGGCAUAUAUAAUAUCACACAUAUUAGAUACAUUUAAUGAUAGUUUGGCUCUUGAGAUUAUUAAACAUGAAGUGGACUUAAUCACCACUCAUCAGAUACACGAAUCUCCAACACACCACAUAAACUCGUAGAGUCAAACAUAUCGCAGAAGUGAAGCAUAUAGCUAGCACUUUCCAACACACCAAACACGCAUAUAUCAUUUAAUGGAACUUAGCUCACAUUCUCUUAUCUCGUCGAAAACUAUCCCAGGCCUCAACGCCCCAAAUAUCACAUCACAAAGGUAAGUACUCACAAUCCUAUGGUAUGCCAACUAUAUCUAAUGGUCUCAAGGUUCACAAGGCCAAAAUAUCCACACUAUCAACACAAAUUUACAUACCGAUUUCAGCACAUGUUCACUGCAUAUACAUAUCAUUAGCACAUUAUAACCAGUGUCACAUAUUAUGAAAGCAUACCUACAUAUCUAUUGUCAUAUGGCAUGAAUUACAUAUCCACAUAUUCACUUUCACAACAAUCAUCACAAUCUUACAACACAUAUCAUAUUAUCUCAUACAUGUUCGUAUUUUAACAAUUGCACAAACACACAUCUAUCACAUUAUAUCAUAGGUGUGAGAACACUUACACUCAGGAUUUAGAGUAGGAAUUUAGGAUACAUCUAAAUUCUGAAUUACACAUUGAAUCAUCUACAAGAACCGAAUUCUAAAACACUUACCAAAAAUACGUCUUCACCAAAAAGCUGAUAGCUCAGACAAGCUUUUCUUCGCCUUUUUCUCUACUCGUUGAAGGUCCUAUUGAAUCUGACGCUUCAACAAUAAAAAACCACAUAGAUAUUCAAUCAACAAUUAGUCAAUAACUCACCUAAAACAAUCACAAACAUAAGCCUAAGAUGCGUUCUCUUCUAACCAAAACCUUCGACAUAGAAAAAUUAAAAUUCAAAUAACUCAAUCUAAACUUAAUAUUUUCACAGGAAAUGAAUUCCAUUCAUCUACAUAUUCAUCUACGACUAAUUCUCAACCUUUAAACUAUACAAAAUUAUAGGUUUCAAGGUAUUGAAAUUUUUCGACAAGUUUGCCCAUUAUAAUAAAAAUUCAUUAAAACUCAAUAAACUCUUAACGAAACUUCAAAGUAACCUUAUAAACCUUUUAAUUAUGUUAAAAGAAGUUGAAAAACACUUUAAAACCAAGUUUUAAUCCACAAACCCGAAAUCCACCAUUAAUGACCCAAUUUUUAGCUUUUAUUUAAAACAUGUAGUUUCAUAACUAAAAACUCAAUUUUAAAGGGUAGAUAACAUUAAAAACUAACAGGAAAGUGAAUGGUUACCUUUGAUGGAAGCUUAAACGAGUUUUCAACGCAAAUUAAAAAACCUACAAGUGAAGAUGAUGAUGAAAUCUAUGGAAUUUUAGGGUGCUUUCUUGAAUAUUUAUUAAGUAAUUGACUUGGGGAUGAUGGAAAUCAAAUGAGUAUGAUAUGAGAAUCAAAAUUGAAGAGUUAGGGCUUUGGGAGAGUGAGGGACGACAACACUAUGGAGAAGGAGAAAGUUAUCGUGAAAAUAAGCUAGGAAUGUGGGGUUUUAGGUUCUAUUUUUAAAAUUUGGUCUAUUUGCCCCUUAAAAGCUCACAGUUUUGAUUUUCUUACAAAUCAGUCUUUUUACUCGCCCCAAGCAUCUAGGUUGGUGGAUUAUCCCACAAAAGAUUCAUCAAAAUGGUGAAUUCCAAUAAGGCAUUCCUGAAUUGGGCGUACUGUCGAAUCCACGUAAUACGCCACCCAAGCAUUUAAAAAAUAAUUCAUCAAUCUUUCCCUUUUUCUACCCUGGGCUUAAUUAACUAUUCACCAAACAGCAUAUCAGUACAGUCUACGCCAGGUGAGCUGUUAUAGUGACAUCCCUUUUUAUGCCCUAACAGGCUUCCCUGGUGGACUCCAUCUCUUCCAUAUUGUGUACAUGUUAGCCAUUGGAUUAUUCCAUUGCUAACUAUGUACCUUCUGCUUCUGAAGAAUCAAUAAACCCCUUUCGAGGUGUCACCCCCGUAGGACCUAAAUACGUUUACACGAUAUCACCUAGGAGGACCAGUAGAUAAUUGUUCCACGAUGCUGCCAAACUCCCUUGAAUCCCAUAACAAAGAACUCAUUCCUCCAUUAUGCCAAUUUUUCCUAUCUUUAUCUACCCAGUCAAAGUAACUUCCUUCAAACUCCACAUUUUAUAAAUAUACAUUUCACGUAAGUCAUUGUACAUAUUACUAUACAUACAACACACCAUUUAUCAAUACAUCAACACACAACCACAUUUCGCAUCCAGGAACAUACUUGCAAACAUCUACAUUUUCAAAACUUUUUGCAUGCAUGGCAUACUCAUUCACCGUGAUCACAGACAACCAUGGGAUUCAAAUUGAACUCAUAACAAACACACGAGCAGAACAUUUUAACAUAUCAACAACAACACCCAAGUGGAGUAUAAAAACUCACCUUAAAUCCUUCCUCCUCACCAGCUUAGCUUGUCCCAAUGCUAAAGCCUCCUUCAUCUUGGCAGCUAAGCACAACAACCAAAUAUAACGAUUAAGCCGAAAGUAUUCAAACUUUAAAAACCCAUAAUUCAAUAUCCUUCAGAAAUUUUCAGAUAUUUUAGAAAUUCUUACUCUCCUUUCUCAAAUCCAUGAAUACAGAAAGAUAAAAAGGUUAACCAGUCCCUCAAAUUUUCUAUUUCAUGACCCCAAACCUCACGACCACACCCCAUGCAGAGUUUUCCUCAACUUUCUAUUCUUCAGAACAACCGAAGAAGAUGGUGUAGAAGGAAACAAAACAGAAAUGAAGAGAAUUCUGCCAUCAGAAUAAACCUCUUCACUCAUAUAUAUAACCUUUCUUGCGCAUGGUUAACUACCCCAGAUAACCAUUCAUCGAUAAUCAUUUUGUCUCCCACUAAGGAACCAGUCGGUUCUAUCCUAAUUGAACCAGAAUUGAAAAUCAAAUAAUUACUAAUUAGCCACAAUAAUUUCUAAGUUUUCCUAUAGAGCCUGUUGACUUACUAUUUUAUUCAAUGAACACCCAAAUCCUUCCAAAUUUUGAACUUUUUGGAAAUCGAAUAUGACAAAAAUUUUAUUAAAAAGCGUAAAGCAUAUGUGAAAUUAUAUGAUUAUGGGAUAUGAUCAGAACCUAUAAAUGAGAUUAUUAAGAAAAAGAAAGAUUUUAUGUUCAUGUCUCAGUUUUUUAAAAUUUAUCUUGAUUUAUUAGCAAAACUGUUAAAAAUUAUUUCGAUUGCUAAUUCCAAAUUUGAUUGUAAAUUAUAACUUUACUGUCUAAAAAGAAUUAGGGACAGGAUAAAAUUGAAGAUUGAUUUGAAAUGUGAAGUUUAGUUUGAUUUUCAAAAAGAUCGGUUUGGAUUUGGUGUAGGUAAAAUUAUGAUUGGUUUAACUUUUCAUUUAUAAGUUAAGAGCUUACCAUUAGUCGAAUUCAACUUUAAUAAAAUAAAUAUUUUAAUUUUAAAUUAGCGAAAAGAUUUUAAAAAUAUUAUAGAAAAUAUCUACUUUUAAGCUUUUUUUUUUCUUUUUGAAGAUUUUUCAAUUUCAUUGUGAGGGAAUAGAUUUUCAAAAUCGGUAAAUUUUACUAUUAUCAUCUCAAUGAAUUCCAUAAUUUUUUAGGUUAAAAUAUGUUAUAAGUCAUAAAUUUGAAAUUUAAUUUUUGUACUUUUAUUUUUGGAAAUUUAGUCUUUUUAUCUUUUAAAUUUUAAAAUUCAAAUCUAAUUAUUAACGUUAUUAUUAUUUUUUUAAUUUGGGUCCUUUACUAUAUAUAAGGUUGGGAAAAAAAACUGUAUAAUUAGUAAAUUGAUUCCACAAAGAUUUGAAAACGAUACACCAACCAAAAUUUUUUAAACUGAAUUAUUUUAUAAAACAAAUUCUAUUAUACAGAAAUAAAUGGAUCUCUCUCCAUUGCUAAAACUAAAAACUCUCGAAUCCUUUUAUUGUUUUUUUGAACACCUCUCAUUAUUCUCUCUGUCGAAACCAUUUUUGAAAAGGGGAAUCGACUUUUAAAAAAUGAAAAUGGGAGUCGCCACCGAUCUUUUAUUGUGGUGUGAUCGGAUCACCUUGAAAAUAAUUUUAGGUCUGCGAAUUUUUGAGAAAAAAACAGGUCCGGGAGUCGGUUACUCACGAGGAAGGGUUAGCACCCUCGUGACGCCCAAAAUUGGUACCGAAUUGAUUAUUUAAUAUCUUAAUGUCGAAAUUUUGAAAAUAUUUUAAAAUACGAUCCUUUUAUUUUGAAUAAAAUGAAUUGGAAGAUAAAGCUCAUUUAUUUUAAAGAAAUAAAUUGUUACACUCAGUAAGUUAGAGUGCAACAUUUCAAAUCCUCAAAAUUAAGCUUAUUCUUUGAUUUUUUUGAAACCUAUGCAUUUUGAGAAGGAUAUCCGAUUAUUUGGGUCAAAUGAGAAAAUCAAAACCCAGUAAGUUAGGGUUCGAUUUCACAAAAUUUCUAAAUAUCGAACAUUGCCUUUAUUUUAAAAUCCUCGUCUCGAGAAAAUAACAUGUCAUAUCCAAUACGUUGGACACAACGCGUCGAAUUCCCGAGAAUGGGUUUUUAUUGGAAAUUUGUAUGUGAAAUAUUCGAUUAUUUAGAUUCGACGAAGAAAAUUGGAACCCAAUACGUUAGGGCUCAAUUCUCUCGAGGAUUCCAAACUUCAAGCAUUUUCGAAAGUUUUUGAAUGAAAUAACUUUGAUACUUUUUAAUCUUUUGAAUGAAUAACGAAAUAACAUUGUACAUCGGGAAAAGCUAAUUUACAAACUAAAAUCCAUGCUAAUGAGUUACAAAGAAUCAAUAAAAUACAAAUAGACAAUGCAACAUAAGGGCAACAAACCUAUAUUAUACAUGAACUUAAAAUAAACUUGACAUAAAAAUGAUAAUAACAUUAUAGAACAAUAUUUUAAAACGAAUUCGUAACAACUAAUAUACAUUUAUUAAUUUCACAAAAAUAGUAUACAACAUAACCAUAUAAAUAUACCAUACACAUACAUAUAUAAAUUUCAUAAAUAAGUAAAUUCUUUUCUUUUUAAGGAAAAAUAAAUUACAUAUAAGUAAAAUCGAUUUAAAAUACAUACAUAAACAUAUUAAAAACUCUUGAAAUCCAUAAUCUUAAUAAUAUCUAAUAUCCUAGUAUUAACACAUAUCUUUAAAAUAAUUAAUAAUUUAUGCGUAUAUGAAGAAUAGUAUAUAAAAAUAUUAUUAUGAAAAAUUUGAAGCUAAAUGUAUAUAUAUACAUAUAUGAAUUUAAAUAUAUAUAUAUAUAUAAGCUAUACUAAGAUAAUAUAAAAUGUAUAUAAUAAAAUGUUUGUGAAAAUAAGCAAUAAUACAUAAAAACGUAAAAUAAUAUCAUAUAAUAAAAUAACCUAUGUAAUAAGAUUAAGUAAAAAACUAGUAAUAAUAAUAAUAAUAAUAAUAAUAUGAAAAGGCUAGAAGUAAAUAAUAAAUAAUAAAAAGAUACAGUAAGGUAAAUAUAUAUAUAAAAACUAAAAACUAAAAAAUAUUAUGUAAUGUAAAAUAUAAAAGGUAAUGCAAGACUAAUUUAUAUAAUAAUAAUGAUGAAUAAAUAAAUAACAAAUAAAAGGGAAAAUAAAAACUAAUAAUAAAUAAUCAUAAUAAUAAUAACGUCACAUUUAUUAAUUUAACAAUAAAACAAACAAAAUAACAAAAAAAAGGGCUAAAUUAGAUUUUAAAACAAAAUUCGGGGCCGAAUUUAUAAAUAAAUAAAAGGGAAGGACAGGGGACCGAAACAAAACGCGCUCAAAGCGCGAAGGACUUACUGGGAAAUAUUCCCGGCCCCGCACCGCAGCGUUUCAGCGCGGGUCAAAGUGAAGCAAAUGUAAAAUUUAUGGGCCAAAAUAAGAAUAAACAGUAGGGACCAGACCGCAUUAAGGCGCAAAAGUGGAGGACCUAGCGUGCAAAUAGACCAAACGCCCCAAAGUGCGCAGAUCCCUCCCUGGAUCGGGUCACCGUACGGGUCGCAACCAUUAAACGGCGCCGUUUUAGAUUCUACUUAAGACUAAGAUUAACCCAAAAAAACCCUAUCAUUUCAUUAACCAAAUCCUAAGCUAGGACUCUGCGCCGCUCGAUGCCUCCGCUUCCUGAACCCCGAUCCCCUCUCAACUCCGAUGAAGACGGAGAGAACGAGGAUACAGAUGUCAGGCUCGUCCCCCUCUCCCCUCUUUUCUUUUCUUUAUCUAUCUGCUCCUAUAUUGUAAUGGUAAACAAAAGGAAAGAAAAAUAGAAUCGGAAGACAGAAUGGGAAAAAAACCUUUCGUAUUGAUUUUUGUUACAGUAUCUCUCUUCCCCCAUUACAGAUUCAAUUUAAUGGCCUAUAUAGCCAAAAAAAAUACAAAAAUCGCCCCUAUUUGUUUUUUCUUUUUCUAUAUUUUUCUUUCGAUUUUUGCCUUUUUUUCUGCCUUCUCUGCUUUCUCUCGUGCGUGGUUUGUGUGUAGUUUCUGUCCUCUUUGUCUGCUUGCGUUCGGUGUGUGUUUUGCAGGUAUCCUACGAGGACGUGGCACGGCUCGGCUUGGCGCGGCGCAUGGACGGAGGUGUGUGGGCGUGGCUCGGCUCGGAGGCGGCUGAGGCUUCUGUGCGCAUAGAGGCUAAAGGCUAGGGUUUUGGGGUUUGAGGCAUAUUUUGGUCUAGGCUUAGGCUAGUUGGGUUAGGGGUUUGUUUAAUUUUGGGCUUAGUUUGUUAAGCAUUGGGCUGUAUUUUGUUGGUAAUCUGGACAUUAUUUUUUUGGACCAUUGUUUGUUUUAUCCGGUUUAUGGGCCGGGCAAAAAUGACCUACUACACUCUCAAAUUUAUUUUAUUCUCUAUCUAGAAUAUUUACAAGAUACGUAAUUAAUCUUUUAAUACUUUCAAGUAGUUUUCCCUAAUUUGGUGACAACUCUCCUUUGUUUUUUUUUCAAACAUUACUAAUCUCUAGAAAAUUAGGAUUGUGAUUUUUCUUGCGAUAGAGUAGGAAUUUUUUUAUGCAAGAUUUAGUUUUUUUAUUUAUUAAAUGAGUUUGAGAUAUUAAUUUUGUAUGAGAUUCCUAACAUCUUAACUGGGUAAUAAUUUUUAAAAGUUGAUUAAUACAAAUCAUUGGAAAAAAUUAAGAUUGAUUGUAUUUAUAGUCUUGAAUUUCUUUAAACAUUUAUUAGAAAUUUGUAAUGGGUGUAGAGGCCGUCGUUUCCACGUGAGAUGCCAAUAUGGCAAGUUAACGGACCACCUCAGCUUUCUAUUGCAUUUGUAAUGGUAAUGACUGAUUUGUUAUUUUUCGAAAGUUGAAUGACUGAAUUGAAACCUUUGUGAUUAUUUUAUCAGUUGCAUCAAAGCUGAGUACUAUUGGUGUAAUUUACCGUAGAUUUGAAUUUUUAAAGAUAAAAAUAUAUAUAUCUUUGUUUACUAACUACUAAACAUGAUAACGUAGGAUAUUUUAAGAUAAGAAAACUGUUAAUAACUAUUUAAUGAUAUGGAUCAAGAUUAUAUUUUAUAUAUAAAAAAAGGCAAGGAUUUGAUUUUUUUCUAAAUAAAAUAAAUAAAAUAUCUUCGCUUACUAAUGACUAAAGUUGAUGACGUAAGACAUAUUAAGAUGGGAAAAAUGUUUCGGAGCAUAUAAGGUGGAAUCUCAUUUGCAUAAAUCAUCAUUAAUUUAAUUUGAGUUGAUUAUUUAAUAUUUUUCAGUUAAAAAUAUAAAUUUAAUUUUAAUAAGGGUAAACUACACCCAUGGUCACUUUUGUUUACCUUAGGUUACAUUUCAGUCACUUAUGUUUGAAAUGUUACGUUUUAGUCACUUACGUUAUUGUGUUGUAACAUUUUAGUCACUGAGCCGUUAAUUGUCGUUAAUGGUGUAAUGGUAAGCUGACGUGGCCGCUAAAUUAUCAUUUCAAACAGAAAAUUUUAGGUUAAAUUAUACAAUUGGUCCCCAUAAUUUUUCGUUUUGAGCAAUUUAAUUCUUUUAUGUUCUUUUAACUUUCAUUAUUUUUCAUUCUCUUCUGCUUCUCCUUCUGUUUUCUUACCUUCUUUGUUUAUUUUAACAUACCAGGAAGUCGAAUUGGUAGUGAAGAAAGAAGCAUGGUAUGGGUUUAUGGGUUUUGGUUUUAGGCAAAUGAUGAUGUCGAUUUCCUACUUGUUUUUUCAUUGCCAAUUCGACUUCCUAAUAUGUUAAAAGAAAUGGGAAAGAUAUGAAAACAGAGGGAGAAACAAAAGAGAAUGGAAAAAAAGAGGAAAGUUUAAAGAACAUAAAAUAAAAAAUAAAUUACUUAAAAUGAAAAAAAUAUGGGGAUCAAUUGUAUAAUUUAACCUAAAAUUUUGUUUGAAAUGAUGAUUUAACGUGCCACGUCAGCUUACCGUUACACCAUUAACGACAAUUAAUGGCUUAGUGACUAAAAUGUUACAACAUGAUAACGUAAAUGACUAAAACGUAACAUUUCAAACAUAAGUGACUAAAACGUAACCUAAGGUAAACAAAAGUGACCAUGGGUGCAGUUUACCCUUUUAAUAAUUAGAUUUGAAAUUUUUAAAAUAAUUUUUUUAGUAACGAUUAAACGUAAUGAGUAGAAUAUAUUAUUAAGAUAAUAAAAAUGUCUAUUUAUUAAGGUUGUAAUUUUAAAUGAUUGGAUUUGAAUUUUUUAAUAAAAAAUAGAAAAUAUAUUUGUUUAAUCAACGUGAUGAUAUAGGAUAUAUUAAAUUCCAAUAUAGUUGGUCGCAAUUAUAUAUGUGUCCUACAUUUGGAUAAUCAUUGUUUUAUCAAAUCAAGUUUAGUGAAAGUAGUGAGUUUUAUUUUAUUAAUUUAAUUUAAUUUAAAAUUUUUACCAACCUAAUCUAAUAAAAUAAAAUUUGAAUUGAGUUGAAUAAAUUUUUUUGAGUUAAAUUAAAAGAAUUUAAAUAAGUCAAAUUAAAAUUUUGUUGACAAUUUAACUAAAUUUUAAAAUAGAGCACAUAAAUUUAAGACAUUUUGAAAACUUCUUUUAAGAAAAAAAAAUAGCAUAUAUAUAUAUAUUAAAGACUAUUUUAAAUUUUUUAUUUUUAUAUUUUAAACUUUGAAAAUUUGUAUAAUUUCUUUUGAAUUUUUAAAUAAAAAUCUGUAAGUUUUUUAUGUAUUUAUUUUAAUUUUUAUAAUUUUAAUAAAUAUUUUUGGAAAUUAUGGUUUUUUAUUGAAUUAUAUAUACAUUUAAAAAAAAUUAAUAUUAUAUAAUUUAUAUAACUAUGAUUGAUUGAAUUUAAUAAAAAAACAAAGGAUCGCUUAUUUCUGAAAUUGAAAAGGACCCCAAGGGUAUUCAUAACAAAGAAAAAUAUAUAUAUAAUGCCUAAACUUCAAAACCACAGAGUUUUGAUAUUUGGAUUACCAGAUAUUCAAGUUGUAAUAAUCAAACUCCAGUCGAUGUUGGAUAACUCGAACUAAUUAUUCAAGUUGAUCUAAUAACUCAAAUUGAUUAAUUUGAACUUUUUUUUUUUAAAUACUUACAAGUUGAAUUGAGUUAUACUCCUCCUUAAUAGCCAUUAUAAUUAAUGGAGUGCACUAAAAAAAAUGUUUGGUAUGAUGAAAAAUGAUAAUUGGUCAAAAUGUAAUUCCAAUGUUUGACAUGAAAAAAAAUUAAUUUACUUUCUUUGGAAUGUAACAUUCCAUGAGAAUUAUGUACUUUCUUACAAGUAAUACAAAGUGAUUCUCUUAAUAAUUAGUGGGAAAGAUAUAUGAAAUUCUUAGGACAAAAUUAAUUUUCCUUUUAUUUGUAUUUAGGAUAUUAAUUAACUUAUUCAACCUAAAAGAAAAAAGAACAAUGCAGUUGUUGCUUGUUUUCUCUUUUUUUUUUGAUCUUUACAACUUCGAUUCAUUGUUUCAAAAUAAAUUUGUUUUUAAUAUUAUUAGAUAAAUAUCUAUAUUUUACUUUGUUAUAAGUAAAUUUUGUUUUUUGGCACAGAAAACUUAGAAAACUUGUAGAAUUAAGUAUUUGUGUGAAAAAAGAAACAACAUUGGCAUCACCUAAUCUCAAAUUCAAAUUUUAAACUAAUUCAUUGUCCAAUUUUGUUAUCAAGAAAGAUACAUGACAUGCCACUAUAACAAAGCUUAUAUGAAAAUUUCUAUGCGUUAAAAAUGGAAAAUCUGAAACCUAAAUCAAACUACUAAUUUAAAAAUUAUUAUUAAGAUAAUUUCAAGUCAUCUAUGUAGUAAGGAAAAUUUAGAAAUCAUACAUCUUCACAAUCUUAGGCUUUUUUAAUGUGCCAUAUAAUUGAUUAGAUCAAAAUGAGAGAAAAGCAUAGAUUGUGAAUUAAUUCAAACAAUUGUUAAUAAUAAAGAUUAUUGAAAAAGAUUGAUUUUGCAUUGUACUAAACAUAUUCAUGUAAUUUUCUUAAAAUUCUAAUCGAUACUUUGGAAUAUAUACUAAAAGACACUUUCCCAACAUUCACAUUUUCACAGAGCAAUGAAAUUCUCAUGGAAAGCACCAAACAUCCUUUAAAUUGAAUCUAAUAGGGUGCCCAAUUUAUUGCUCCAAUUCCAGUGCGGCUGGGUCAUCGGGCAACGUAACUUUCAAACUUCAUAGUUUUAUGCUUUUUAAUGAUGUAAUUAUAUUUUGUACGUCGAACACAUAUAAAGAAUUAAGAAUUCUUGAAAUUACGAGGGCAUAUAGUUACUUUUUUUUACUAAACCAGAGCACACAAAUACUAUUAAACAUGAUGUCAUUAAUAAUAAAAAUUAAUAUUAUUUUAAAUAAAAAUAAAAUAUCUUUGUUAACCGGGGAUAAAUAUUAAAUUUAUACGUGAAUUUUGGUUCAAUGUGUAAUUUAAUACAUUAAUUUUGAUUUGGAACAAUUAUAUACAUAAAAUUUGAAUUGUGGUUUAUAUAUAUACAUGAAAGGUUAAUUUUGAUUCAAUUGUACAUAUUUAAAGAAAUGAAUACAUACAUUUAUUUUCAUAUUGAAUUAAUAUAAUUGUUUGUAUAUGCAAUAUAUGAAUAUAAAAUGAUGCUAAUUCGAUAAUGUUAUUAGUGAUUUGCGAAAAUUUAAUCAAAUUAAAAUUUUAUGUAUAAAAUUAUAUAAAAUUAAAAUUUAUAUAUGAUAUUAUUCAUUGUAUCAAAAUUUAUAUAUAAUUUUAAUAUUUAUGGAUGAAAUUUUAGGAAGCAGUUUACUGAAGAUUAAAGAAUGUUAAUAAUUAUUUAUUGAUAUUGAUUAAGGUUGUAUUUUACACGAAAGGUGUAAUCAUGCAUUGUAUUUUUCGAAUUAAUAGAAGCAAUGAAUCAAAUAAAAAACCUUUUAACGUGUUGCACGAAGUGGAAAACUAAAAAUUAAGAAUCUCAUUAUAUUUCGAGAAGAUAAAUUAAAGUUUUAAAUAUUAAUAUAUGAUAAGUUAGGUGAUUGAUUUAUUAUUAUUAUUAUUAUUAUUUAGAGUACGUUGAUUCAAAUGUGUUUAAGCGUGUGUUAUCUUUUCUUUAAGAAUUAAAAUUAGAUUAUGUUUUAUUUGGACAUUGACUCAUAUAUAAUAUAUAUUAUGUUUUUAAGUAAAUAAAAUUAGAGUUAGAAUUAAAUUAUCAUGAAUGAAAGAAUAUAUAAAAUAUGAUUUAAUUUAAGGUAUAAUAAAAGAAUGUAGAAUAAUCAAAAAUAUAUAUAUGUACAUGAAACAAAUAUUAAGUGUUAAAAUCUACAUAAAUGAAUGAUUAAUAUGUACAAAUUUAUCUAAAUUUAUAAUACUUUGAAGGCAAAAAAAUAAAAGUAAUGUCAAUACUAUAUGAAUAUAUAUAUAUAUAUAUAUAUUUACAAAUUGAAUCCGUAUGAUAAAUUAUGUAAAAUAUGAUAUAAAUUUAUAUAUAAUACAAACAAAAAAAUAA
Molecule: long non-coding RNA, 16337 nt
Filed under: Gossypium barbadense (sea-island cotton)
Lineage: Eukaryota; Viridiplantae; Streptophyta; Magnoliopsida; Malvales; Malvaceae
Description: long non-coding RNA (GBAR_LNC020119)
Source: RNAcentral